This 574-nucleotide ribosomal RNA is filed under the name Shigella sonnei. Its description in RNAcentral is "partial 23S ribosomal RNA". It matches the Rfam family "Bacterial large subunit ribosomal RNA", at positions 2166 to 2739 of the family's 2925-position model. The record is from RNAcentral. Lineage: Bacteria; Pseudomonadati; Pseudomonadota; Gammaproteobacteria; Enterobacterales; Enterobacteriaceae.
GGACGCCAGUCUGCAUGGAGCCGGCCUUGAAAUACCACCCUUUAAUGUUUGAUGUUCUAACGUGGACCCGUGAUCCGGGUUGCGGACAGUGUCUGGUGGGUAGUUUGACUGGGGCGGUCUCCUCCUAAAGAGUAACGGAGGAGCACGAAGGUUGGCUAAUCCUGGUCGGACAUCAGGAGGUUAGUGCAAUGGCAUAAGCCAGCUUGACUGCGAGCGUGACGGCGCGAGCAGGUGCGAAAGCAGGUCAUAGUGAUCCGGUGGUUCUGAAUGGAAGGGCCAUCGCUCAACGGAUAAAAGGUACUCCGGGGAUAACAGGCUGAUACCGCCCAAGAGUUCAUAUCGACGGCGGUGUUUGGCACCUCGAUGUCGGCUCAUCACAUCCUGGGGCUGAAGUAGGUCCCAAGGGUAUGGCUGUUCGCCAUUUAAAGUGGUACGCGAGCUGGGUUUAGAACGUCGUGAGACAGUUCGGUCCCUAUCUGCCGUGGGCGCUGGAGAACUGAGGGGGGCUGCUCCUAGUACGAGAGGACCGGAGUGGACGCAUCACUGGUGUUCGGGUUGUCAUGCCAAUGGCACU